AGAGUUUGAUCCUGGCUCAGGAUGAACGCUAGCUACAGGCUUAACACAUGCAAGUCGAGGGGCAGCAUGGUCUUAGCUUGCUAAGGCCGAUAGGCGACCGGCGCACGGGUGAGUAACGCGUAUCCAACCUGCCUUACACUCUUGGACAGCCUUCGUGAAAAGGGAGAUUAAUACGAAGAUGUUAUCAUGAGUAAGCAUUUCGCAUGAUUAAAGGUUUACCGGUAGUAAGA
This 230-nucleotide ribosomal RNA is filed under the name uncultured bacterium. Its description in RNAcentral is "partial 16S ribosomal RNA". It matches the Rfam family "Bacterial small subunit ribosomal RNA", at positions 8 to 225 of the family's 1533-position model. The record is from RNAcentral.